RNAcentral lists this ribosomal RNA (684 nucleotides) under Mucor pernambucoensis. RNAcentral's name for it is "partial large subunit ribosomal RNA". It matches the Rfam family "Eukaryotic large subunit ribosomal RNA", at positions 56 to 646 of the family's 3401-position model. The record is from RNAcentral. Lineage: Eukaryota; Fungi; Mucoromycota; Mucoromycetes; Mucorales; Mucoraceae.
GAAAAGAAAAUAACAAUGAUUUCCCUAGUAACGGCGAGUGAAGAGGAAAGAGCUCAAAGUUGGAACCUGUUUGCCUUAGGUAAACCGGAUUGUAAACUGUAGAAACGUUUUCCUGGCAUGCCAGAUAAAUAAGUCCUUUGGAACAGGGCAUCAUAGAGGGUGAGAAUCCCGUCUUUGGUCUGAGCCUUUGUCUUUUGCGAUACGUUUUCAAAGAGUCAGGUUGUUUGGGAAUGCAGCCUAAAUUGGGUGGUAAAUCUCACCUAAAGCUAAAUAUUUGCGAGAGACCGAUAGCGAACAAGUACCGUGAGGGAAAGAUGAAAAGAACUUUGAAAAGAGAGUUAAACAGUAUGUGAAAUUGUUAAAAGGGAACCGUUUGGAGCCAGACUGGCUUGAUCGUUAUCAAUCUAGGCUUCGGCCUGGAUGCACUGGCGGUCUAUGCCUGCCAACAACAGUUUUUUUUGAAGGAAAAAACCUAGGGGAAUGUAGCCCUUCGGGGUGUUAUAGACCUUGGGAUAAUACUUUGGAAGAGACUGAGGAUCGCAGCGAAUGCUUUUGGCGAAGAGGUUGGGCGCUUUUUCUAAUGGAUGCUAGAAUUUCUGCUUCGGGUGGUGCUAGUGUUCUGCGGGAAAACUCGCUUAGUUUUCUUUCUAUUCGCUUAGGUUGUUGGCUUAAUGACUCUAAACG